UACGGAGGAUGCGAGCGUUAUCCGGAUUUAUUGGGUUUAAAGGGUGCGUAGGCGGGUUAUCAAGUCAGCGGUAAAAUCGUGGAGCUCAACUCCAUCCAGCCGUUGAAACUGAUGAUCUUGAGUGGGCGAGAAGUAUGCGGAAUGCGUGGUGUGGCGGUGAAAUGCAUAGAUAUCACGCAGAACUCCGAUUGCGAAGGCAGCAUACCGGCGCCCGACUGACGCUGAAGCACGAAAGCGUGGGUAUCGAACAGG
This 252-nucleotide ribosomal RNA is filed under the name uncultured bacterium. Its description in RNAcentral is "partial 16S ribosomal RNA". It matches the Rfam family "Bacterial small subunit ribosomal RNA", at positions 524 to 776 of the family's 1533-position model. The record is from RNAcentral.